UUUCAUUUUAGGGAGCUACCAUUUGAUUUUUAUGGGGGGCUAGGAUGAAAAUUUUUGUCCUGCAUUUUUUUUAGUUGUAAUCUCUGUCCUGCCUUUUUAUUUUUCACUCUAUUCGGUCCUGCCUUUUUUUUAUUAGUUUAUCCUAACUUUUUUACCUAAAUUGUCAUCCUGCAUUUUUUUUUUUGCAAAGUGUCUCAUCCUGCCUUUUUUUUUACUCAAAACUCCUGUCCUGCCUAUUUUUUUCAAAUUUCAUCCUAGCCCCCCCAUAAAAAUCAAAUGGUAGCUCCCUUAUUUUGUAUUUUGAUGUUUGACUUAAAUAUUUAUUUCUUCUCAUUUGAUAUAUUUCUUUUCGGUCUUGUAGUCAAACAGUUCUAAAAUAUUAAAUUACGUUUCCGUUCCAGAAUAAAUAGAGGGAAUUGUACACUAGCUAGAGAUUUUAUGAUUUCGGGUUUAUAAAGAGAUGGAGUUCAUUUUGAUAGCGAUAUUUAACCAGAUGGCUAAUCCGAGGGGUAUUUUGGAGUAACGGUCGUCAAUCUACGGAAUUG
This 545-nucleotide long non-coding RNA is filed under the name Mytilus galloprovincialis (Mediterranean mussel). The record is from RNAcentral. Lineage: Eukaryota; Metazoa; Mollusca; Bivalvia; Mytilida; Mytilidae.